UACGGGGGGGGCAAGCGUUGUUCGGAAUUACUGGGCGUAAAGGGCGCGUAGGCGGCUCAUCAAGUCGGGCGUGAAAUCUCCGGGCUUAACCUGGAAAAGUCGUUCGAUACUGUUGGGCUAGAGUGUGGAAGAGGCUACUGGAAUUCCGUGUGUAGCGGUGAAAUGCGUAGAUAUCUGGAGGAACACCGGUGGCGAAGGCGGCAUCCUGGACCGGCAUUGACGCUGAGGCGCGAAAGCUAGGGGAGCAAACGGG
RNAcentral lists this ribosomal RNA (253 nucleotides) under uncultured bacterium. RNAcentral's name for it is "partial 16S ribosomal RNA". It matches the Rfam family "Bacterial small subunit ribosomal RNA", at positions 524 to 776 of the family's 1533-position model. The record is from RNAcentral.